Molecule: transfer RNA, 58 nt
Filed under: Dipodomys ordii (Ord's kangaroo rat)
Lineage: Eukaryota; Metazoa; Chordata; Mammalia; Rodentia; Heteromyidae
Rfam family: tRNA
About the family: Transfer RNA (tRNA) molecules are approximately 80 nucleotides in length. Their secondary structure includes four short double-helical elements and three loops (D, anti-codon, and T loops). Further hydrogen bonds mediate the characteristic L-shaped molecular structure. tRNAs have two regions of fundamental functional importance: the anti-codon, which is responsible for specific mRNA codon recognition, and the 3' end, to which the tRNAs corresponding amino acid is attached (by aminoacyl-tRNA synthetases). tRNAs cope with the degeneracy of the genetic code in two manners: having more than one tRNA (with a specific anti-codon) for a particular amino acid; and 'wobble' base-pairing, i.e. permitting non-standard base-pairing at the 3rd anti-codon position.
Source: Rfam by way of RNAcentral
UGGCUCAGUGGUAGAGUACUUGCCUCACAUGCAUGAGGCCCUGAGUUCUAUUCCUCAG